AUGUCUUCUGAUUCUUCCGCGUUGUCUUCUCUACGACCUCUUGAUUCGCCUGUUAAUAUUCUUACCGCCGACGGCACAUCUCUUCCUGUUGCUAGUCGUGGUAUUCUUUCCACUCCAUCUUUUUCUGUUCCGAGUGUUUCACAUGUUCCUCGCCUUACCAUGAAUCUUUUUUUCGCUGCCCAAUUCACUGAUUCUGGUUGUCGUGUCAUUAUUGAUACCGACUCUUGUUCCAUUCAGGAUCGUCGUACCAAGGCUUUGGUUGGUGCUGGCCCCCGGCGCCGUGAGUCAGAGGGCCUUUGGGAGGUUGACUAG
Molecule: ribosomal RNA, 312 nt
Filed under: Triticum aestivum (bread wheat)
Lineage: Eukaryota; Viridiplantae; Streptophyta; Magnoliopsida; Poales; Poaceae
Description: partial small subunit ribosomal RNA
Source: RNAcentral